RNAcentral lists this non-coding RNA (119 nucleotides) under Elusimicrobiota bacterium. Lineage: Bacteria; Pseudomonadati; Elusimicrobiota. The record is from RNAcentral.
AAGGGAAUUGCGGUGCAAGACCGCAGCCGCCCAGCGACUGUGACCCCGACGAAGGCCGAGUGACACCACUGCGAGAGCGGGAAGGUUCGGCCGGAGGAUGACGGGAAGCCAGGAGACCU